This 517-nucleotide long non-coding RNA is filed under the name Pan troglodytes (chimpanzee). RNAcentral describes it as "long non-coding RNA NONPTRT010511". Lineage: Eukaryota; Metazoa; Chordata; Mammalia; Primates; Hominidae. The record is from RNAcentral.
CACACACACACCCACAAAAAGGCAUAAUACCUGUAAGAAGGAAAGCAGUCCUCUAGAAUUGAAGUGUUUGAAAAAAAGCUAUGAGCUCAAUGUUUUGGAGGAAAUCCCUUCUAUAGCAGUGGAAAGAAGGCAGCUCAUUUUGGAGUAAGUGUGGAUAGAACUAGAAAUAGGAGAUAUGGGAGGGACAAGAGAAGGCCAAUAAUCUAUGAGUUUAUGUCCUCAGCUUUGAAUGGUAGGACCGUAUCUGCUAUUCAGUUUUUGAAAUACAGCUGUGCCAUGUGCACUGAACCUUCACACUGGGACUCAGCUGCCAUGCUUCACCUUGGUUAUAAUGAUGACAGAGGCUGAGAAAGCCUAACAUCAUCAAUUAAAACAUCACUUCUACAAUGACAUUUCACUAGUCAGCUUAACAUCAUAAAUUAUGACAUCACCUCUUUCAUGAAACCAGAAGAUUGAAGAAAGGGGACUGACUGAGAAGCUAUUCCUACUGGAAACUAAGAUUCCUCUUUGAUUUGUG